This 519-nucleotide ribosomal RNA is filed under the name uncultured eukaryote. RNAcentral's name for it is "SSU rRNA". It matches the Rfam family "Eukaryotic small subunit ribosomal RNA", at positions 1161 to 1697 of the family's 1831-position model. The record is from RNAcentral.
AGGGCACCACCAGGAGUGGAGCCUGCGGCUUAAUUUGAUUCAACACGGGAAAACUCACCCGGCCCGGACACUGGAAGGAUUGACAGAUUGAGAGCUCUUUCUUGAUUCAGUGGGUGGUGGUGCAUGGCCGUUCUUAGUUGGUGGAGUGAUUUGUCUGGUUAAUUCCGAUAACGAACGAGACUCUAGCCUAUUAAAUAUUAUCGUUGGCUUACAAACGCCGGCGAGACUUCUUAGAGGGACAGGCGGCGAUUCAGCCGCACGAAACAGAGCAUUAACAGGUCUGUGAUGCCCUUAGAUGUCCGGGGCCGCACGCGCGCUACACUGAAGUGAUCAGCGUGCAUUUUGAAGCCUACUCUGUCAAGAGUGGGGAACCCAAUGAACCUUCUUCGUGAUUGGGAUAGGGGAUUGUAAUUAUUCCCCUUGAACGAGGAAUUCCCAGUAAGCGCGAAUCAUAAGUUUGCGCUGAUUACGUCCCUGCCCUUUGUACACACCGCCCGUCGCUACUACCGAUUGAAUGUU